GACGACCGGCGCACGGGUGAGUAACGCGUAUCCAACCUGGCCCAUACCACGGGAUAGCCCGUCGAAAGGCGGAUUAAUACCGUAUGCUGUCAUCAAGAUGCAUAUAUUGAUGACGAAAGGACUGGCGGUAUGGGAUGGGGAUGCGUCUGAUUAGCUUGUGGCGGGUAACGGCCCACCAAGGCGACGAUCAGUAGGGGUUCUGAGAGGAAGGUCCCCCACAUUGGAACUGAGACACGGUCCAAACUCCUACGGGAGGCAGCAGUGAGGAAUAUUGGUCAAUGGGCGAGAGCCUGAACCAGCCAAGUAGCGUGCAGGAUGACGGCCUAUGGGUUGUAAACUGCUUUUAUAAGGGAAUAAAGUGAGUCUCGUGAGACUUUUUGCAUGUACCUUAUGAAUAAGGACCGGCUAAUUCCGUG
Molecule: ribosomal RNA, 416 nt
Filed under: uncultured bacterium
Lineage: Bacteria
Description: bacterial SSU rRNA
Rfam family: Bacterial small subunit ribosomal RNA
Source: RNAcentral